UCUCAGCUGUAAUACCAGUCCAGGGGAGGGUACUAGGUAGAAAGGGCCCCCUGUCUGUCUCAGCUGUAAUACCAGUCCAGGGGAGGGUACUAGGUAGAAAGGGCCCCCUGUCUGUCUCAGCUGUAAUACCAGUCCAGGGGAGGGUACUAGGUAGAAAGGGCCCCCUGUCUGUCUCAGCUGUAAUACCAGUCCAGGGGAGGGUACUAGGUAGAAAGGGCCCCCUGUCUGUCUCAGCUGUCAUACCAGUACAGGGGAGGGUACUAGGUAGAAAGGGCCCCCUGUCUGUCUCAGCUGUAAUACCAGUCCAGGGGAGGGUACUAGGUAGAAAGGGCCCCCUGUCUGUCUCAGCUGUAAUACCAGUCCAGGGGAGGGUACUAGGUAGUUACAGACAGACAGGUUGUGUAGUCUAGGACAGGUCAGUUAAACUAAGAGAUAGAUGGUUACAGACAGACAGGUUGUGUAGUCUCGGACAGGUCAGUUACAGACAGGUUGUGUAGUCUAGGACAGGUCAGUUCCACUAGGAGAUAGGUGGUGACAGACAGACAGGUUGUGUAGUCUAGGACAGGUCAGUUCCACUAGGAGAUAGAUGGUGACAGACAGGUUGUGUAGUCUAGGACAGGUCAGUUAAACUAAGAGAUAGAUGGUUACAGACAGACAGGUUGUGUAGUCUAGGACAGGUCAGUUCCACUAGGAGAUAGGUGGUGACAGACAGACAGGUUGUGUAGUCUAGGACAGGUCAGUUCCACUAGGAGACAGGUGGUGACAGACAGACAGGUCAGUUACACUAGGAGAUAGAUGGUGACAGACAGGUUGUGUAGUCUAGGACAGGUCAGUUAAACUAAGAGAUAGAUGGUUACAGACAGACAGGUUGUGUAGUCUAGGACAGGUCAGUUCCACUAGGAGAUAGGUGGUGACAGACAGACAGGUUGUGUAGUCUAGGACAGGUCAGUUCCACUAGGAGAUAGGUGGUGACAGACAGACAGGUUGUGUAGUCUAGGACAGGUCAGUUCCACUAGGAGAUAGGUGGUGACAGACAGGACAGGUUGUGUAAAUGGUGGAGGUUAGGGCCCGUUAACCACAGUCCUGGAGUCAGAUGUUAACUCCUGUCUCUAUAAAUGGUUGAGGUAAGGGCCCAGUUAACCACAGUCCUGGAGUCAGAUGUUAACUCA
Long non-coding RNA from Oncorhynchus keta (chum salmon), 1169 nucleotides. RefSeq lists it as uncharacterized. NCBI's taxonomy places the organism in Eukaryota, Metazoa, Chordata, Actinopteri, Salmoniformes, Salmonidae. The record is from RefSeq and is a predicted model, not a curated record. The transcript is spliced from 5 exons.